UUACCUUCACUUCAUUGCCACCCCAGAUCACAGUGCAUCCCGUUGUGUACGAGUCCAGGGACCUUGAGCGGCGCUCUUUGGAGAAGGGCCGGGCCCGGCCCGCCCGUUCCCGCCCGCUCCCCUGGCCGCCGCCGGACAAAUCGCUCUCCGCCGCGUGUGGGCCGGAGCGCGCGGCCGCCAGCGCCGCUGCAGGAACCGGUUCUGGUUCUGGCCGCGCUCCCCCCGCGGGGGCUGCUGUCAGGCGUGCGGCCGCGAUUGGCUGGGAGGCGGCAGUCACCCGCCCUGCCUCUGCCCGCGGCUAAUCAGCGCAGCCGUUGGCCGCAGCAGGUUCGGAGCGAGGUGCCCGCUGGUGUCAGACACCUGUCUCUGCUGGGCUCUGCCCCGCUGGCGCUGCUGGCUCCUGGGGAUUCUUUCCGGCCUGGACGCCACCUCUCCCAAGCCGCCGAGCCCCCCUCGGCGGGCCCAGCGGGGCCCAGGGUCCCCCUGCACAGGGAUGUCCAACAGACAGCUGAGGACAAUGAACAUGCUAGCUUAAGACGUCCUUAAGGUAAGUCCAUUUUAAACCAGAUAUUUCUCAACGUUGUAUGUGCCACCUCUAUCUGGACAGAAAGGCCGGUUUGGAGAAGGUACACUAAAGAGAGGUGGGGAAGUGUACUUGAGGCUGCUGUGAUGAAAUCAUCAAGUUAUUCGCCGUCAGAUGUGCUUUUGCAAAAUGAUACCAAGGCAUAACCAGGGAAGAUGGAAAUUUGGAUGAGGGUCCCGGACAAAUGGCUGCAACCCUGUCAGGCAAUUGACACCUCGUUGUGUACUCCUUCCUACUUGACCAGGAGCUCACAUGAAGGUAGAAUAGAGUAACUUUAAUUAGGGCCAGCACAUACGCUGUGUGUGGAUGGUAUACUAGAAAGUGAAGCUGAACAUUCUAGCUCCUUCCAUUCAUGCCACCCCAGCAUGGCUAGUCUCAUUCUAAUUACCACUUAUUUUUAAAGCUUCCUUGAACUUUUUUCUCUUGUAAUAUGAAAGCAGUCUUUCUUUUUAAAGAUUUGCUCAAUAUCAGGGAAUUUGUUCAACAUCGGGGAAUUAGUAAAUUAGUAGGGGGGGGGGGCAGGUUGAUUGUCUUGCUUCACUCCACUCAUCCUUAUGUUCAAGGGAGAGUCAGAUUCUUAAUGCUUGCACCCAAAUGUGAGCAACAGAUCCUUAGGAUUAUUAAGCCAUGAUUCUGAUGGACCUAAGUUCUGAUUUCAUUUUACUUGUAAGCUGAUUGACAAAUACAUCAAGGACCCUCCUGUCUUCCCCUUGGGUUGCUGUCAGCACAUUUGUCACUCUAGGAUUUAGUCAUCCAAGGUUGGUACAAAGACUAGUGGUUUGGGACUUUCUUGCUUACCAGUCCUGCCUGUUUUGCUCUGAGAGGGAGGAAGUAAUUUUCCUUUUGAUUUUUUUUUUUUUUUUAAUGAAAACGUGCUUUUAGUGAAUAAAGAUCUGUUUGUAAAUCCAAAGAGGUUCCGAGACUACUUUUCCCAUCUUAUUAAUUCCAAAACUAUAAACACCUACAUGAAACAAGGGUGUUUUCUAAUUCUGAAUGGCCUGUUCAAGUAGCAAGCAGUAACAGAGACCAAAUGGAGCUGGCGAUAAGCAUAUAUGAACCAUUCCCUUGAAAUCUAUGUUAAUCAUCCUGAAAUGUGUGUUUUUCUUCCAAUGUUCACAGCCAAUUGGAAAUUUCCAUCUUUCUCCUCUAACUCAUCUUUGUAAAAACAUUUUUUCUAUAAUAAGUUCAACAUGUCAGUAAUGCUAAAAAUGGCUGCUUUGAUGAAUAAAAGCAUCAGAAAUGACAGUCCCCAUUGAGUGAAAUGGGAUCAUCACACAAGUCUACAGCAAUCAUUUUAAAUAUAAUGUGCGUGCAAAUAGAGCAGAUGGUUGGUGGUAAAUGAAAAAUCAGAUUGGUUAGUAGGUAAAUACUAAGUGAAUUUAUAAAUAUUGAGAGAGUUAAAGGAGAAAUGGACUUUGGAAAGCUAAAUAAACGUAUUUAGCAUUGACUUACAUUUCAAAAUUCUAUAUUCGCUUAUGAAUUACAUCUAGAGAGUGUAUAAAUCAAAGAUUAUUUCCUGGUCUAAGGAUAAGUCAUUUUUGUAUGGGGAAGGAUAAAUACCACCUCAGCCCUAAUCACUACCUCAAAAAAAAAAAAAAAAAAAAAAAAGCCUAAAUACACUAUACACAAAAAACAACUCUGUGUCCUGAAGAGGUACAGGAAGGAAGAGAAAGCUAGUUGAAAAGCUUCUAUCGCUAGUUAAAAAG
Molecule: long non-coding RNA, 2289 nt
Organism: Pipistrellus kuhlii (Kuhl's pipistrelle)
Lineage: Eukaryota; Metazoa; Chordata; Mammalia; Chiroptera; Vespertilionidae
Exons: 2
Source: RefSeq, a predicted model, not a curated record